AGAGUUUGAUCAUGGCUCAGAUUGAACGCUGGCGGCAGGCCUAACACAUGCAAGUCGAGCGGUAGCACAGAGAGCUUGCUCUCGGGUGACGAGCGGCGGACGGGUGAGUAAUGUCUGGGAAACUGCCUGAUGGAGGGGGAUAACUACUGGAAACGGUAGCUAAUACCGCAUAAUGUCGUAAGACCAAAGUGGGGGACCUUCGGGCCUCAUGCCAUCAGAUGUGCCCAGAUGGGAUUAGCUAGUAGGUGGGGUAACGGCUCACCUAGGCGACGAUCCCUAGCUGGUCUGAGAGGAUGACCAGCCACACUGGAACUGAGACACGGUCCAGACUCCUACGGGAGGCAGCAGUGGGGAAUAUUGCACAAUGGGCGCAAGCCUGAUGCAGCCAUGCCGCGUGUGUGAAGAAGGCCUUCGGGUUGUAAAGCACUUUCAGCGGGGAGGAAGGCGAUAAGGUUAAUAACCUUGUCGAUUGACGUUACCCGCAGAAGAAGCACCGGCUAACUCCGUGCCAGCAGCCGCGGUAAUACGGAGGGUGCAAGCGUUAAUCGGAAUUACUGGGCGUAAAGCGCACGCAGGCGGUCUGUCAAGUCGGAUGUGAAAUCCCCGGGCUCAACCUGGGAACUGCAUUCGAAACUGGCAGGCUAGAGUCUUGUAGAGGGGGGUAGAAUUCUAGGUGUAGCGGUGAAAUGCGUAGAGAUCUGGAGGAAUACCGGUGGCGAAGGCGGCCCCCUGGACAAAGACUGACGCUCAGGUGCGAAAGCGUGGGGAGCAAACAGGAUUAGAUACCCUGGUAGUCCACGCCGUAAACGAUGUCGAUUUGGAGGUUGUGCCCUUGAGGCGUGGCUUCCGGAGCUAACGCGUUAAAUCGACCGCCUGGGGAGUACGGCCGCAAGGUUAAAACUCAAAUGAAUUGACGGGGGCCCGCACAAGCGGUGGAGCAUGUGGUUUAAUUCGAUGCAACGCGAAGAACCUUACCUGGUCUUGACAUCCACAGAACUUUCCAGAGAUGGAUUGGUGCCUUCGGGAACUGUGAGACAGGUGCUGCAUGGCUGUCGUCAGCUCGUGUUGUGAAAUGUUGGGUUAAGUCCCGCAACGAGCGCAACCCUUAUCCUUUGUUGCCAGCGGUNCGAUUGACGUUACCCGCAGAAGAAGCACCGGCUAACUCCGUGCCAGCAGCCGCGGUAAUACGGAGGGUGCAAGCGUUAAUCGGAAUUACUGGGCGUAAAGCGCACGCAGGCGGUCUGUCAAGUCGGAUGUGAAAUCCCCGGGCUCAACCUGGGAACUGCAUUCGAAACUGGCAGGCUAGAGUCUUGUAGAGGGGGGUAGAAUUCCAGGUGUAGCGGUGAAAUGCGUAGAGAUCUGGAGGAAUACCGGUGGCGAAGGCGGCCCCCUGGACAAAGACUGACGCUCAGGUGCGAAAGCGUGGGGAGCAAACAGGAUUAGAUACCCUGGUAGUCCACGCCGUAAACGAUGUCGAUUUGGAGGUUGUGCCCUUGAGGCGUGGCUUCCGGAGCUAACGCGUUAAAUCGACCGCCUGGGGAGUACGGCCGCAAGGUUAAAACUCAAAUGAAUUGACGGGGGCCCGCACAAGCGGUGGAGCAUGUGGUUUAAUUCGAUGCAACGCGAAGAACCUUACCUGGUCUUGACAUCCACAGAACUUUCCAGAGAUGGAUUGGUGCCUUCGGGAACUGUGAGACAGGUGCUGCAUGGCUGUCGUCAGCUCGUGUUGUGAAAUGUUGGGUUAAGUCCCGCAACGAGCGCAACCCUUAUCCUUUGUUGCCAGCGGUCCGGCCGGGAACUCAAAGGAGACUGCCAGUGAUAAACUGGAGGAAGGUGGGGAUGACGUCAAGUCAUCAUGGCCCUUACGACCAGGGCUACACACGUGCUACAAUGGCAUAUACAAAGAGAAGCGACCUCGCGAGAGCAAGCGGACCUCAUAAAGUAUGUCGUAGUCCGGAUUGGAGUCUGCAACUCGACUCCAUGAAGUCGGAAUCGCUAGUAAUCGUAGAUCAGAAUGCUACGGUGAAUACGUUCCCGGGCCUUGUACACACCGCCCGUCACACCAUGGGAGUGGGUUGCAAAAGAAGUAGGUAGCUUAACCUUCGGGAGGGCGCUUACCACUUUGUGAUUCAUGACUGGGGUGAAGUCGUAACAAGGUAACCGUAGGGGAACCUGCGGUUGGAUCACCU
This 2189-nucleotide ribosomal RNA is filed under the name Klebsiella pneumoniae. Its description in RNAcentral is "bacterial SSU rRNA". The stretch from base 928 to 2189 matches the Rfam family "Bacterial small subunit ribosomal RNA". The record is from RNAcentral. Lineage: Bacteria; Pseudomonadati; Pseudomonadota; Gammaproteobacteria; Enterobacterales; Enterobacteriaceae.